CGAGCGGCGGACGGGUGAGUAAUGCAUAGGAAUCUGCCCGGUAGUGGGGGAUAACUUGAGGAAACUCAAGCUAAUACCGCAUACGCCCCAGGGGGGAAAGCAGGGGAUCUUCGGACCUUGCGCUAUCGGAUGAGCCUAUGUCGGAUUAGCUAGUUGGUGAGGUAAUGGCUCACCAAGGCCGCGAUCCGUAGCUGGUCUGAGAGGAUGAUCAGCCACAUCGGGACUGAGACACGGCCCGAACUCC
RNAcentral lists this ribosomal RNA (244 nucleotides) under Halomonas halophila. RNAcentral's name for it is "partial 16S ribosomal RNA". It matches the Rfam family "Bacterial small subunit ribosomal RNA", at positions 92 to 339 of the family's 1533-position model. Lineage: Bacteria; Pseudomonadati; Pseudomonadota; Gammaproteobacteria; Oceanospirillales; Halomonadaceae. The record is from RNAcentral.